GUAUCUACUGUUCUACAAAACUUCUCUUCCUGAAGAAUGCCUCACAGCACAUUAACAACUACUCUCACUACCCACCACUGAAACGCAGCCAUCUCUGGGGAGGGAUGUGUCAGUCCUUCAAUACUGUUUAACACCAGAACAUCACAUAACAGUUUAAAAGGGAAAGAAGCAUACUAUAUCCAACUGAAAUAACAAGAGGCAGGUCAUGAGUGAUAAAUAUAUGCUGCCUAAUCAGAACUGGCCAGAAUGUAACGGUCAGCACUUCUACCUUUGCGUCAUGGGAUUGUUCCUGACCACAAAAGGCUAGGCAGUAUACAAAUGUGAAGUUAAAUUAAUUUAGAUUCAAUACACAAAGUAACUUUACAUUUAACAGAUAGCUAGAAUGGGGAUUACUGGUAUCUAAUCCUUAGAAUUACUCAUCAGGUUUUUGUUUAAUUUUAGUAUAUUACUUUAAUAGGUUUCAUAUUAGUUGUACAUGCACAUAACAGGGCAUAACAUCAAGUUAUUCAAAUUCAUUCACACUUUUUUAUUGUAAAACAAAGACAAAACAAGAUUGAGGGUCUCUAAAAUUACCCAACAGGAAACAAGACAAAUAUUGUAUUGUAAGUUACAGUUGCAAUAUGGAUUUUUGGGGGGGGGAGGUCUUAAUGUUCUGGGUAAAAACAUAUUUACGCAAAAUAGCUGCUUUUGCCCCAUCAUGCUGCUUUCUCCGAUAAGAUUUCCAUUUUCUAGUCAGAUAUGCUAUAAAAAUUGUAUUAUCUAAUUUUGAGUUCAGUUUACCUCACAAUUCAUUUCUAAUAAAUCAAAUGUUCCACGGUGUACAGUAGCAAAGAACAGAAGGAAAUGAUGCUUAAAUCAGUGUAUGAUACAAGACGCUCUCAACUUUGCUUUCUUUGAAUUUACAUAUUUUAUGAUCUUGAAAAGAUACCAGGCACCUUCAUCAAAGCCAGAGAGCAUUUUUAUUCUGCUUUAAUAUACACCUCUACCCCGAUAUAAUGGUGUC
Molecule: non-coding RNA, 1003 nt
Organism: Chrysemys picta bellii (western painted turtle)
Lineage: Eukaryota; Metazoa; Chordata; Testudines; Emydidae
Source: RefSeq, a predicted model, not a curated record